RNAcentral lists this ribosomal RNA (312 nucleotides) under Triticum aestivum (bread wheat). RNAcentral describes it as "partial small subunit ribosomal RNA". Lineage: Eukaryota; Viridiplantae; Streptophyta; Magnoliopsida; Poales; Poaceae. The record is from RNAcentral.
AUGGGGAUGGUUAGCUGCAAGGCGGAGCGGAACACAUACGUGUCCUUCACGCUCGACGACGGCACCGACUGCAUCGAUUUCAUCAGAUGGGGUUCCCAUGCUUGUUUAUUCUGGAUUUCUCUGUCAGAACUGCUUGUGUGUCCAUCUGCGACAAUGCUGCCGGUCAGUUUGUCUAUUUCUUGCCUUCCUUGCUCCCUAGUGCUGUUCAUUAUACUGUCUCUUAGGAACCUCAAUUACUUAUUUCUGUCUACUGUGAGGUAUUUGUUCAGUUUCAAUCUGAAUCGCCUAACUUGGAGUGACAAUCUGCAUUGA